Molecule: ribosomal RNA, 1049 nt
Filed under: uncultured bacterium
Lineage: Bacteria
Description: bacterial SSU rRNA
Rfam family: Bacterial small subunit ribosomal RNA
Source: RNAcentral
ACGGGUGAGUAAUGCUUAUCUUACCUGCCAUUUAGUGGGGGAUAAAAUUCCGCAUAUUAUGAGUAAUCAUGAAAGGGCUUUCGGGCUCGCUAAUUGAUGGGGAUAAGUCGUAUUAGUUAGUUGGUGGGGUAAUGGCCUACCAAGACAAUGAUGCGUAGCCAGUCUGAGAGGAUGAAUGGCCACAAAGGAACUGAGACACGGUCCUUACUCCUAUUGAGGAGGCAGCAGUGGGGAAUAUUCUGCAAUGGGGGAAACCCUGACAGAGCAAUACUACGUGAAGGAGGAAGGUCUACGGAUUGUAAACUUCUUUACUUAAAUGUACUAACCGCAAGGUUUUGCAUUUGAGCAAAAAGCGACGACUAACUAUGUGCCAGCAGUCGCGGUAAGACAUAGGUCGCGAACGUUAUCCGGAAUUAUUGGGCGUAAAGGAUGCGUAGAUGGUUCAGUAAGUUACUGGUGGGAAAUCGAGGCCUAACCUCGUGGAAGUCAGUAAUACUGUUGAACUUGAGUGCAGGAGAGGUUAACGGAACUUCAUGUGGAGCGGUAAAAUGCGUAGAUAUAUGAAAGAACAUCAAUAUAGCGAAGGCAGUUAACUAUUCUGCUACUGACAUUGAGGCAUGAAAGCGUGGGGAGCAAAACGGAUUAGAUACCCGUGUAGUCCACGCCCUAAACGAUGAGUGCUAGAUAUUGGGAACUUGAUUCUCAGUGUCGCUAGGUAACCCGGUAAGCACUCCGCCUGGGGAGUACGCUCGCAAGAGUGAAACUUAAAGGAAUUGACGGGGACUCGCACAAGCAGUGGAGCAUGUGGUUUAAUCCGAUACAACGCGUAGAACCUUACCAAGGCUUGACAUGUUCGGCAAAACUGUGGAAACACAGCGGAGGUUAUCCGGACACAGGUGCUGCAUGGCCGUCGUCAGUUCGUGCCGUGAGGUGUAUGGUUAAGUCCUAUAACGAACGUAACCCUUAGGUUUAGUUGCCAGCAUUCAGUUGGGGACUCUAGACCGACUGCCCGAGUAAUCGGGAAAAGGAAAGGAUGACGUCUGGUCGUC